This 256-nucleotide ribosomal RNA is filed under the name uncultured bacterium. RNAcentral's name for it is "partial 16S ribosomal RNA". It matches the Rfam family "Bacterial small subunit ribosomal RNA", at positions 524 to 776 of the family's 1533-position model. The record is from RNAcentral.
UACGAAGGGGGGCUAGCGUUGUUCGGAAUUACUGGGCGUAAAGCGCACGUAGGCGGUUCGUUAUGUCGGAUGUGAAAGCCCUUGGCUUAACCGAGGAAGUGCAUCCGAAACUGGCGAGCUAGAGUACGAAAAGAGGAUCGCGGAAUUCCCCAAGUAGAGGUGAAAAUUCGUAGAUAUGGGGAGGAACACCGGUGGCGAAGGCGGCCAUCUGGACGGAUACUGACGCUGAGACGCGAAAGCGUGGGGAGCAAACAGG